This 3003-nucleotide long non-coding RNA is filed under the name Heterocephalus glaber (naked mole-rat). Its description in RNAcentral is "lncRNA (ENSHGLG00000034204.1)". Lineage: Eukaryota; Metazoa; Chordata; Mammalia; Rodentia; Bathyergidae. The record is from RNAcentral.
CCCGGCCGUGGCCGGGAAGUUCGAUCGGAAGUCUGGGACAAGCCAGGGAACACGCAAAGGCCGGGGAAAGAACUCAGGACGCGUGCGCGUCAGGUGUGACGCAUGCGCAGCGCACCCCAGACCCCGGCCGGCCGCUGUCCAACCAUCCCCCUUAGUACGAAUAGGUUGGAGCACUGAGACUUCCGGUUCCGCAAGGCUCACCUUUCAGGUGAGGUUUAUCUCGGCUCAAGAUCACUGAGAGGGAGACCGUCUCAAAGAGUAAUUGUAUCCUGCGUAGCACAAAAGUCACCGUGUUCUGGGAGGAGGGAGGCGCCGCUCCUUCCUCCAGGUCCCCAGGGAGUUUCUGAUCUUGUCCAGCAUGCACUGCGCUCCCUGAGCUCUGAGGAUGUUUCCAGGUGCCAAGAGCAACGGUGCAGACGGGGGCCUGCAGGAGGCUCUGAUUUGGAAGUGAGCAGCUGAGGAAGUGAAGAUUCUGCCUGGAAACUGACUUGCUGAUAAGUUCACAGCAAAUUCGAGGAGGAAGUAAGGAGACUCCUGUACACUGGAGCGCCCGCCCGCUGUCCCGUCAGACUGGGCGCUGCGCCCUGCCGGCUGCGACCGACCGUUAGGCCAGGACCCAGGGCUUCCGGCCGCCCUUCGCUGCCCAGUGUGGCCUCGACAGCAGGCCAGGCCUCGCUUCGUUGUUUUGAUUUGCUUUCCCUGGCCUGCGCUCAAGCGCCUUCUCGCGCUUGUGCGCAAGCUGAAAGUCUCCGGUUUCAGGAAACACCCCUCCACUGCAGGCGCGGGCUCCACAACAGCAGACGUCAGCCAACAUGAGCAGGAGCCUGAGUGAGUCGGAUGGCGCGCGUCAGCUCCUGGCCCUGCCUGAAACGCCCCCGCUGCUUCACAGGGGAGGAGCUCACAGCUGGGCCCACAUCCCGCCGUGCUGGUCAUCUGAUGGAGGUCACAGGCUCUAGGCCACACGGAUGGAGUGAAAGAUGUUUCUGGAACGCUGAAGGGCAGAACAUAGUUAAUUCUGGCAAUUUUGUGGGGCAGCUUCUGCUUCUUCAUUAGGACAGAAAUAGCCAGAGAUGAUUUUACAUAAGGAAGUCACAGAGGGACAGCAGCGGGGGUGCUUCUGGCACCAGGUUGCUUUUCAGCAUUUUAAAUAAGUUAAUAGCAUAGCUUCCAUCACUCCCGAAUAAAUAUCCAAUUAUGUUGCUGAAUUUUGAAACAUCUUAAAGUAAUAUUUCAAUUAAUAUAUCGUUUGUUAUUUUCAUAUAAUAGCAUUUAUUGGAGCUCAGGAAAAACUUUGUAGAGAAUUACCCUCCGAAAGACCUAAGUCUAAUUCCUAAUAUAACUUGUUUCUUUUGAGAUUUCACUUUUGCCUUUUUUUCUUUUCAUAAAUCAAAUUUCAUUCUAUUUUUCUCCUUCCUUCUGGAGCAUGAAAAAGAUUUUAUUUCUUCUUUAGUUAUUCUAGGACAAAUUAAAGUUUUAAUUGUAAGUUUUAAAUUUGGCAUCGUGUGACAUUAUGAAAUACAUGUUCUAUUAGUCAUUAGCUAAAAUAGCAAAUGGCUUUCACUACUGUGCUUUCCUUUUAUUUCUUUUUUGGGCGGGACUAGGGAUUGAACCCAGGCCCUCACACCUGGCAGACAAGCACUCUACCGCUGAGCUACACCCAGCCCCUUUUAUUUUUAUUUCGGGAAGGGUCUUGCUAAGUUGCCCUGACCCGGCUGGCUGACCUGGAAGUUGUGUCCCUUCUGUCCCAGCCUCCCGCACAGCCAGGCAUACAGACGUGCACCACCACAGCAGAAGCAAACUGGUAACUUCAAUUGUACCAAGAAACUUCUCAUUACCUGUCUCCUUGUCUUUUCCUAAAGCACAAGCUUGUAAUCUAUGGGCAGGGCCAGACCUCAGGGGAUGCUGCCCUACAGGGACACUGGCCCUGCUUCUGAGCCAAGUGUCUGGUGAGUGAGGUGGAGAAGGAAAGGCCCAGAUGUCACCUGUCAGGGAGGCCCAGUUGCCCUCAGGUGGGAGCAGUGGAAGAUGAAGCAGCUUUCCUUCCACAGCUGCUAAGCCUUGCUGGGAGUCCGUGGGUGGCUUCAGUGUUUUCUCCGGAGGAUGGGAUAACACUACCCCUCAUGUUGCCACCUGCCACAGUUUACCAUAGUCUCAGAAAAGGCGAAGGACAGGGGCUUCUGUUCUUUGUCACUCCAUGGAAGGAACUUUAGGACGCUGCAGGACUUUUUGGAAAGUGGCAGCUAAAGCUCUGGGGAUAAACGCUCCAGAGGGAAGGUGAAGACAGUGAGGGUUGUGCGAGACCUGGAACCUCUCGAACGGCCCACGGGUGGGGUGCUCACACAGUGUCUCCGAGUGUGUGGUGUGGCACAGGACCCCGCAGCACCUUCGGAUUUGCACUGCCAGGCCGACCUCGGAGGGACGGACUUGCAGCUACAACACAGACACCUCUGGGGUGAAAUGUGGCGACGGUUUGACAGGCAUAGCAGGAGCUCCGGCCAAAAAGGAUUUAUCCAAUUAAAGUUAUGGGAUGAAUUUUGGCUGGCAGCAUGUAAUUACCCGGCUUGGAGCGGAGCCAGGAUCCUGAGGUUAACACCCGUGCUCUUGCCAGCAGCCUCCUACCUGCCAAGGCUCGGCAGGGCUGGAGCGCGCUGUUGUGACAUCUCGCACAAUGCUGGUGACGCACAGCCUGGACCUGGUUUCUUCAGCGCUCAUUAUGUUCCUUCUUUUUAUGCCACAUUAGGCUCGAAACCAAAUGUCCACAUAGAUGUCAAUUUCCUCAAAUCUGAGUUUAAAAUUAUAAUUAGAAAAUAAAAAAUAGAUUUACAAAUUAAUUUAUUCCGUCAGAGUGGUUAUCGAGCGAUUAUUUCACUGUAGGAGUGAAACUGGAUCAGAGCGGUGAUAUUGAACCCUCGCCGCCUUAGGAGAAAAAUGGACCAGGAGCCAGGUCGGGCCUGGGUGGGAGAGCGCCCCGGGCCCACAGACAGCCGGGCAAGAGACAAGCCC